RNAcentral lists this ribosomal RNA (496 nucleotides) under uncultured bacterium. Its description in RNAcentral is "partial 16S ribosomal RNA". It matches the Rfam family "Bacterial small subunit ribosomal RNA", at positions 29 to 507 of the family's 1533-position model. The record is from RNAcentral.
AUGAACGCUGGCGGCGUGCCUAAUACAUGCAAGUCGAGCGAACAGACGAGGAGCUUGCUCCUCUGACGUUAGCGGCGGACGGGUGAGUAACACGUGGAUAACCUACCUAUAAGACUGGGAUAACUUCGGGAAACCGGAGCUAAUACCGGAUAAUAUAUUGAACCGCAUGGUUCAAUAGUGAAAGACGGUUUUGCUGUCACUUAUAGAUGGAUCCGCGCCGCAUUAGCUAGUUGGUAAGGUAACGGCUUACCAAGGCAACGAUGCGUAGCCGACCUGAGAGGGUGAUCGGCCACACUGGAACUGAGACACGGUCCAGACUCCUACGGGAGGCAGCAGUAGGGAAUCUUCCGCAAUGGGCGAAAGCCUGACGGAGCAACGCCGCGUGAGUGAUGAAGGUCUUCGGAUCGUAAAACUCUGUUAUUAGGGAAGAACAAACGUGUAAGUAACUAUGCACGUCUUGACGGUACCUAAUCAGAAAGCCACGGCUAACUACGUG